This is a long non-coding RNA of Olea europaea var. sylvestris, 1662 nucleotides long. RefSeq lists it as uncharacterized. NCBI's taxonomy places the organism in Eukaryota, Viridiplantae, Streptophyta, Magnoliopsida, Lamiales, Oleaceae. The record is from RefSeq and is a predicted model, not a curated record. The transcript has 3 exons.
GCAAGAGAGCAAGAGUCUUCAAAGUAGAGAGAAGCGCCAAGGUGCAAACAUUUAGCUGGAUAAAAGGUAAGAUUUAUUGUUGAAAUGAACAAGAAAAUAUUGUUGGGCACCGAUAGUGCAUGAAUAGACAACCUCUGUAUGAACAAAGAGACCCAUCUUGCUUCCUUAAUCUAUGUAUGUAUACAAUAUAUUCAUAUUUUCUUAAAAAUAAUUUCGAUUUUAUACUAAAAUGUUUACUGCAGAACUAAUAAUGCAAAGACAAGUAAAAACUAUAACUGCUUUUAAAAUAAAAUCUCCAACAAGCAAAAAAAAAGAAAGAUAAGAUGAAGAAAAAAUUAUAGCCUUAGUUAUUCAUAGUAUGUAUAAAGUCUUUGAAUUUUAGUAUUCUUUUGUCAUAAUCAUCUAAAACAUAAAUAAUAGCACCUGUAUUGUUGCCAUUGUGAGAUAUAGAUAUAGAGUUAGAAUUUAUGGAAUUCUUAUAAAUACAAAUUUGUCUAUUUCGUUUAUUAUGUAGACGUCUCUAGAAUAUAUUGUCUCUCCAAAUCAAUGGUUCUCUGCCACUAUCUGUCAAUAUACAAAUCGGAAAUAUCUCCAAGAUUUUAUUGAAUUUAUAGAUGUAAAUCCACAGGCUUCUGCUAUGUGUAGCGAUUUCUAUGGAUUUUUUGCGAGAGUUAUUUAUACGGAAGAAGAUGAACAAUUUAGUAGUAGGUUGAUACAUGAAUUCGUAAUGAGACUUGUACAUUGUGGUAAAAAUAACGAAGUGUGAGUACGGUUAGGUUAUCGUAUUGCUAGGUUUAGCAUGCAAAAAUAUUGUAUCAUCAUUGGAUUACCAUGCUAUGAACCAUCUGUGGAGAUUAAUCAUAAUAACUAUCGUCUUAUAAAUCAAUAUUUCAAUGGAACAAGAAGAGUUAAUAUGAGAAUAUUGCAUCAAGCGUUCCAUUCAUGCGAAGACUACAUAGAUAAAUUUAAGCUGGGAUUGGUUAUGUUUGUGGAAUGUGUUUUGAAACCAACUGGCAGAAUUAUUGAUUAUAAGACUCUUGGUAUGGUCGAGCAUCUCGAUGACUUUAUUGCUUAUCCAUGGGGUCAAAAAACAUAUUUUGUCUUGUUAAAUUCUUUGCAAGAAUCAUAAGCUGAAAUAGUGCAAAGAGCAUAACAAAAUCAAACAGAUUGCAAAUAUACAUUAAGAGGAUAUCUACUUGCAUUCCAGGUAAAUUUUUUCUGUUCUUUUAUUGUUAUAUAUAUUAUGUAUAACUUAUUUGUAUAACAAAAGAUUAUAAUUACUUGCAGUUCUGGAUAUAUAAAGUCUUUCCAGAGAUUGGAAAAAAAUUUGGACGCAGGAGAUAUAAAACAGCACAAAGUCCUCGAAUAUAUAAGUGGAGACCUAAUUCAAUAUUAACUGAGAAAAUGGUAAAACCUUUUUUGGCCACUGAGUACUUAUUGGGAGGACAACGACAAUUACAUUGGAAGGGACAUGUUGAAAAAUUUGUUGGAUGUAGGAAAAGAUGUAACUCCCACGAUCAAGUCAUGAAACAUGCAAAAGCAACACAUGGUACAAUCCAAGCAUUCAUUCUGAAUUCUGAGCUUUCUACUAGAAAGGAUGUAAGGAAACAUAGAAGCAAAACAAUGCAAGUGGAGAUAAUAUAUUAUCUACCAUGUGCAGGC